UAGGUAACCUGCCUCUAAGAUUGGGAUAACUUGUCGAAAGACGAGCUAAUACCAAAUAAGACCACGGUCUCCUCGGGGACAGAGGUCAAAGGUAGCCUCUAUUUAUAAGCUAUCGCUGAGAGAUGGGCCUGCGUACCAUUAGCUUGUUGGUGAGGUAACGGCUCACCAGGGCAAAGAUGGUUAGCUGGUCUGAGAGGAUGAUCAGCCACACUGGAA
This 216-nucleotide ribosomal RNA is filed under the name uncultured bacterium. RNAcentral describes it as "partial 16S ribosomal RNA". It matches the Rfam family "Bacterial small subunit ribosomal RNA", at positions 118 to 318 of the family's 1533-position model. The record is from RNAcentral.